Molecule: ribosomal RNA, 712 nt
Filed under: uncultured Arcobacter sp.
Lineage: Bacteria; Pseudomonadati; Campylobacterota; Epsilonproteobacteria; Campylobacterales; Arcobacteraceae
Description: bacterial SSU rRNA
Rfam family: Bacterial small subunit ribosomal RNA
Source: RNAcentral
GAGAAAGGAAUAACAGUUGGAAACGACUGCUAAUGCCCUAUAUGCCUUUAAGACAUAAGUCUGCAAGGGAAAAUGCUUUUGUGCUCGAGGAUGGGACUGUACGGUAUCAGAUAGUUGGUGGGGUAAUGGCCUACCAAGUCAAUGACGCCUAACUGGUUUGAGAGGAUGAUCAGUCACACUGGAACUGAGACACGGUCCAGACUCCUACGGGAGGCAGCAGUGGGGAAUAUUGCACAAUGGAGGAAACUCUGAUGCAGCAACGCCGCGUGGAGGAUGACACAUUUCGGUGCGUAAACUCCUUUUAUAUAGGAAGAUAAUGACGGUACUAUAUGAAUAAGCGCCGGCUAACUCCGUGCCAGCAGCCGCGGUAAUACGGAGGGCGCAAGCGUUACUCGGAAUCACUGGGCGUAAAGAGCGUGUAGGCGGAUAGAUAAGUCAGAAGUGAAAUCCUAUGGCUCAACCAUAGAACUGCUUUUGAAACUGUUUAUCUAGAGUGUGGGAGAGGUAGAUGGAAUUUCUGGUGUAGGGGUAAAAUCCGUAGAGAUCAGAAGGAAUACCGAUUGCGAAGGCGAUCUACUGGAACAUAACUGACGCUGAGACGCGAAAGCGUGGGGAGCAAACAGGAUUAGAUACCCUGGUAGUCCACGCCCUAAACGAUGUACACUAGUUGUUGUGAGGCUUGACCUUGCAGUAAUGCAGUUAACACAUUAAG